This 501-nucleotide long non-coding RNA is filed under the name Androctonus crassicauda. The record is from RNAcentral. Lineage: Eukaryota; Metazoa; Arthropoda; Arachnida; Scorpiones; Buthidae.
CGUGAAACUAGCAUUUUUAUGUCUUUUCUAUGUUUGGCUAACCUAUCUUUCAAAUUCCUAGAUGUUGCCCCUAUGUAUACUUCCUCAGCUCCAUUGUCCAAGUUCUGCAGAAGGAUUUUAUAUACUCCUGUUCCUUUUUCCCAGGUGUAAGGGUCCUUCACCUUUACACCGAAGAAACCAUCUUUAUUCAUGUUUAUUCUGUAUGUACCGACUUUAUUCGUGUUUAGAAUAUUAUUUUAUAUGUUUGAAAUUCAUAUUUGUAGAAUAAUAGAACAUCACAUUAUUCUAACUAUUCUCAGUUCUAAAUAAGAAAUUUAGAAUAACUUGUAAGAGCUGAUGAUGGUGCAUUAGCCAAAAACACUUCUCUGUUUAACCCUUUGCAUUCCUUUGCCUAGUCUGGCGAGACAACCGUUGACAUGCUUGCACUCCGAUGUCUUGCUCAGCAAGACAAGUUUAGGAACAGAUAUUUUCAGUUUUUUAAUUUUAUUGAAUAGACGCCAC